UAAGUGACUUCUGGGAAGAAAUCCAAAAAGCACAUUUAAUAAAAGGGCUAUUUUCUCAAAUCAUAACCUUGGAUACUCCAGAAAAGGAAAAUUAAUCAAAGAUACAUUCCUUUAAAAAUACUUUAAAGAUUUGAGCUGCACAAAUGUGGUAGAUACUGACCCUGCAUUCCCACAUGGCAGUAACAGGCUGGAACCCAAUAGUAGCUGUCCCUUAUUGACAAGGUACUUGGUCUCCAGGUUACCAGUGACCCACCUCUCUUGUUUCACUGACUGAAGCUACUUUACUCAUUUCUUUACCUGCCUGGCCAUCAGCCAAAUUUCCCUGGCCUCCAUCCCUGCCCCUCUCAGCUGGUCACCGCUGCAUCGAGCUCUAAAAACCCCGUGAUUUCACUGAGUCUUCCGCAGGAUGACCUUAGAAAGACCCUGUGGUCAGAGGGAGAGAAUGUGUUAAUAUUUGUGCCAUGCUGUUUAGGACAGAUACAAAAUAGGACUGUUUUUACAGAAAAUUAUCUUUCAAUUCUUUACUUACAACCCAUAGGAUUCAGAUAUAUGUCCAUAGAGAACCGAGUAGAAGCGUUUAUCAGUCAGGGUCCAGUCAGGAAAAGAGCAGCCACAUUACUGAUUUUAAAAGAGGAAGUUUAGAAUGGGGAAUUGGCUAAACACGUACUGAAGGACCAAAGAAGCAAAAGGAACACCAGGCAAUACAGAGACAGCAGCUGCAGGACGCAGCCUUUGUCCAGAGCCUGGGAAGAAAGGGGGAAGGGUGGGAGUUUUACAGCCUAGGAGCUUGGAGGCGGAGACGCCCAAAGCUGGGAUUUGAUCUUUGAGGAGUGGUGCCCCCAGCUGCCACUGGCACCUCUGAGGGGGAUUGGUAACCAACUGCUGCACCCCAGUGAAGUGCUGUUACUUAGACACGGAAUGGAGAGCAAACAGGAAGGAGCAAGCCCCUCUUCUCUCCUGCAUUCUGCAUCUCCCUCUAGAGCUUUCUAAGGGCAGAGCAGAAGCCCAGCCCCAGCAUCACAGAGCAUGAACAUGUAGGUUUGGGGGUGAGGGGUAAGAGCCUGGUAACCAGCACGCAGACAUAAUGUGGUCCUCAUAGCGCUCUGCUUUCUAACAACCGAGGCUUUGUGACAGGACAACGUGUUAUUCUUGGCUUUUCUUCCCUCAGGUUGAGUUUUCUCCCAGAAUGGUCCUCGCUCAAACACAUUCCUGGAAGAUCCGCCUGCCGCUUAGGAUUAUCAACAUGUGUGACUCCCAAAGUACAAACAGCCAAGUCUCUCAGGUUGAAGACCUUGCUACAAAAAUAAUUAUAAUAAUGUGUGGCUAAUAUGAAUCGAGGUAUAUACAGCAUGAAGCAUUGACGAAUUCAAAGAAGAGGCGACAUUUGGGCAGCAUCUUGAAGGACAGUCAGGGGUUCACCAGGAGAGGAGGGCAAGAGUCUUGUGGAUAAAUGAAGCGAUACCUGUGCUGGAGGCCUGAGGGGGAAAGGGAUGCGUCAGUGCCCGCAAGGGGCUGACACGCUUUGAGCAGAGGCUAAGCAUGGAAAUGGCAGCAGGUGGCACAGGAACUCCAGAGACUCUCUUUUUCUACCCUCCCCAUCUCAACAGUCACCAAGCUCUGAAGAUUCUGGAAAAGAAACCUCUGAAAUUUGUUUUAUCCUUUCCACUCCCUCUGUCACUGCCUCAUGUAAGCCUACCUCAAACCUCCUCGGGGCCAAGCAGGCCGCGUAUUUGUAGGGCACGCCAACUCCGGUCCCUCCUUCACACCGCUGCUGAAGUGAUCCUGCU
Equus caballus (horse) is the source of this 1787-nucleotide long non-coding RNA. The record is from Ensembl. NCBI's taxonomy places the organism in Eukaryota, Metazoa, Chordata, Mammalia, Perissodactyla, Equidae.